CAUACGGCUCAGUAACACGUAGUCAACCUGCCCUGGAGACGCGGACAAACCCGGGAAACUGGGGCCUAUCCGCGAUAGAUGACCUCAUCUGGAAGGAGAGGUCGUCCAAAAGGACGCAUGGGUAUGCUCUGUGCGGACCGCUCCAGGAUGGGACUGCGGCCGAUCAGGCUGUUGGCGGGGUAAUGGCCCACCAAACCUGUAACCGGUACGGGCUUUGAGAGAAGGAGCCCGGAGAUGGACACUGAGACAAGGGUCCAGGCCCUACGGGGCGCAUCAGGCGCGAAAACUUCGCAAUGCGCGAAAGCGUGACGAGGCUAGUCCGAGUGCUUCCUGCUAAAGGGAGCUUUUCUCGGCUGUAAAUAGGCCGGGGAAUAAGGGGAGGGAAACUGUGGUGUC
Molecule: ribosomal RNA, 396 nt
Filed under: uncultured archaeon
Lineage: Archaea
Description: bacterial SSU rRNA
Rfam family: Archaeal small subunit ribosomal RNA
Source: RNAcentral